GAAGCUAUGAGCCACACUGUUUAUUUACAUUCCUGCUGCAAGGAAUUGUGGGAUAGAUUCAUGGCCAAUCCAGUGUGUAUGUGGUAUACUCAAGGAAAUGCAAACAUCAAUAUAAAAACAUUUGUUAGCAUUUACAUAACAUGACAAGUGGCUACAAAUCAAAUUGUCAUUCCCCUCGAUUUGAAAGUCUAACCAGAACCAGGCCGUUUUGUCUGUAACCUUAUCGUUUGUAUCCUAAACCUCUGGAUCUUUUUAGCAAGCUAGCUAGCAAGCGAUGAAAAUGGCGCCGAAUUCGCACUUCCUGUUUGCUAACCUUUCGUGAAUUUAACGACUACUGUCACUGGACCACUUCGUCACUGAAGAAAACCUUUAAAAACGGAAUAUUCAGGCAAGACGUGGAGCUGUUGGGAACUUGCCUUUUCCAGAUUUAACAUCGGACAUUAACAUCGCGGCGGACAUCAGAAAGGAAGCUACCAAUGGCACAUAGUGUCCCUUUGGUGAGAAAGUGGAUUCUGGUUCUGCUCCGCCAUUAGAAUGCGGAAACACUCGGCCAGGGUCAUCACUGGGUCUGUCGGCAUACUCCUGGACACACAGGGCAGAGAGACAGCCUCCCUCUAAGGACACGUCAUGCACGUGGAAAAUGGCAGGAAACAGAAGAGGAAAUUAGAUGCAGGAGUGGCGAUAGAUGGGUAGGUCAACAGGAUGGCAAGAGAGGAGAAGAGCCCACCAGACUGAGCUGAGCAGCAGUGUUGUUGCACAGAGACAGGAAUUUUUCACUGUUUCCACCACCUCUUAUGAAUUGAAUCAUC
Molecule: long non-coding RNA, 809 nt
Organism: Solea solea (common sole)
Lineage: Eukaryota; Metazoa; Chordata; Actinopteri; Pleuronectiformes; Soleidae
Exons: 3
Source: RefSeq, a predicted model, not a curated record